GAAGCACGCCAGACUGCCGCUGGUGCAAUCACCGAAAGGUGGCACUGGAGGAACGUCCGGACUGCACAGGACAGCGUAGCAGCUAACGGCUGCCCACCGUGAGGUGAGGAUCAGAGCAACAGAGACGAGUCGGUGCGACUCGCCGUACCAUUUGUGGGUGUUCUAUGGCACCCGGCGCAAGCCGGAAACCGCGUGGCGCAAGCCAGGCGGUGCGGACGAUAGUCCGUAGUGACAUAGCCGCCCGGUGCGGCAAGGCCGCGCCGGGUGAAACGGGCAAUCUCUACGCGCAGCAAUACCAAGUAGGCCAGCGUUGAUGUGGUUCCGCAGAGUUGGCGGGUAGGUAGCAUCGAGCCGUGGUGGCGACACCCGGCCCAGAUUAAUGGCGGUCACGUUGCGGGCAACCGCAAUGCACAGAAUCCGGCUUAUCGGCGGGCUUCACAC
This 441-nucleotide RNase P RNA is filed under the name Diaphorobacter sp. HDW4B. RNAcentral describes it as "Bacterial RNase P class A". It matches the Rfam family "Bacterial RNase P class A". Rfam says of the family: Ribonuclease P (RNase P) is a ubiquitous endoribonuclease, found in archaea, bacteria and eukarya as well as chloroplasts and mitochondria. Its best characterised activity is the generation of mature 5'-ends of tRNAs by cleaving the 5'-leader elements of precursor-tRNAs. Lineage: Bacteria; Pseudomonadati; Pseudomonadota; Betaproteobacteria; Burkholderiales; Comamonadaceae. The record is from Rfam by way of RNAcentral.